GACAGAGGGUGCAAACGUUGUUCGGAAUUACUGGGCAUAAAGAGCACGUAGGUGGUGCGCUAAGUCACGUGUGAAAUCCCCCGGCUCAACCGGGGAAUGGCGCGUGAUACUGGCGGACUCGAGGCGGGUAGGGGUGAGCGGAACUCCAGGUGGAGCGGUGAAAUGCGUAGAUAUCUGGAGGAACACCGGUGGCGAAGGCGGCAUCCUGGACCGGUAUUGACGCUGAGGCGCGAAAGCUAGGGGAGCAAACGGG
RNAcentral lists this ribosomal RNA (253 nucleotides) under uncultured bacterium. RNAcentral's name for it is "partial 16S ribosomal RNA". It matches the Rfam family "Bacterial small subunit ribosomal RNA", at positions 524 to 776 of the family's 1533-position model. The record is from RNAcentral.